AAAUCUUAAGGUUAAAUACUGCCUAUUUGUGGUAUAGGUGAUUUCAAUUAGUUUUGAAAAGAUUUC
Molecule: transfer RNA, 66 nt
Filed under: Virpazaria ripkeni
Lineage: Eukaryota; Metazoa; Mollusca; Gastropoda; Stylommatophora; Spelaeodiscidae
Description: tRNA-His
Source: RNAcentral